This 633-nucleotide ribosomal RNA is filed under the name Aspergillus niger. RNAcentral describes it as "eukaryotic LSU rRNA". The stretch from base 212 to 365 matches the Rfam family "5.8S ribosomal RNA". Lineage: Eukaryota; Fungi; Ascomycota; Eurotiomycetes; Eurotiales; Aspergillaceae. The record is from RNAcentral.
UGGUUGACCAGCGGAGGGAUCAUUACCGAGUGCGGGUCCUUUGGGCCCAACCUCCCAUCCGUGUCUAUUGUACCCUGUUGCUUCGGCGGGCCCGCCGCUUGUCGGCCGCCGGGGGGGCGCCUCUGCCCCCCGGGCCCGUGCCCGCCGGAGACCCCAACACGAACACUGUCUGAAAGCGUGCAGUCUGAGUUGAUUGAAUGCAAUCAGUUAAAACUUUCAACAAUGGAUCUCUUGGUUCCGGCAUCGAUGAAGAACGCAGCGAAAUGCGAUAACUAAUGUGAAUUGCAGAAUUCAGUGAAUCAUCGAGUCUUUGAACGCACAUUGCGCCCCCUGGUAUUCCGGGGGGCAUGCCUGUCCGAGCGUCAUUGCUGCCCUCAAGCCCGGCUUGUGUGUUGGGUCGCCGUCCCCCUCUCCGGGGGGACGGGCCCGAAAGGCAGCGGCGGCACCGCGUCCGAUCCUCGAGCGUAUGGGGCUUUGUCACAUGCUCUGUAGGAUUGGCCGGCGCCUGCCGACGUUUUCCAACCAUUCUUUCCAGGUUGACCUCGGAUCAGGUAGGGAUACCCGCUGAACUUAAGCAUAUCAAUAAGCGGAGGAAAAGAAACCAACCGGGAUUGCCUCAGUAACGGCGAGUGA